GCGUCCAUCGUCUAAUGGAUAGGACAGAGGUCUUCUAAACCUUAAAUAUAGGUUCAAAUCCUAUUGGACGUA
This 72-nucleotide transfer RNA is filed under the name Ceratopteris richardii. It matches the Rfam family "tRNA". Rfam says of the family: Transfer RNA (tRNA) molecules are approximately 80 nucleotides in length. Their secondary structure includes four short double-helical elements and three loops (D, anti-codon, and T loops). The record is from Rfam by way of RNAcentral. Lineage: Eukaryota; Viridiplantae; Streptophyta; Polypodiopsida; Polypodiales; Pteridaceae. RNAcentral also lists the same sequence under 4 other names.